Molecule: ribosomal RNA, 461 nt
Filed under: uncultured bacterium
Lineage: Bacteria
Description: partial 16S ribosomal RNA
Rfam family: Bacterial small subunit ribosomal RNA
Source: RNAcentral
GAUGAACGCUGACAGAAUGCUUAACACAUGCAAGUCAUUGGCGAAGCUGCGCUUGCGCAGUCUAGCCAAGGCGGACGGGUGAGUAACGCGUAAGGAACUUGCCCUGCAGACAGGGAUAACAGACGGAAACGACUGAUAACACCUGGUAUUGUCAGGCUGGCGCAUGCCGGCCUGAUGAAAGGAGACGCUGCAGGAGAGCCUUGCGUCCUAUUAGCUAGUUGGUGGGGUAACGGCCCACCAAGGCGAUGAUAGGUAGCCGGCCUGAGAGGGUGAACGGCCACAAGGGGACUGAGAGACGGCCCUUACUCCUACGGGAGGCAGCAGUGGGGAAUAUUGGACAAUGGGGGCAACCCUGAUCCAGCAAUUCUGUGUGCACGAAGAAGGUUUUCGGAUUGUAAAGUGCUUUCAGCAGGGAAGAAGAAAGUGACGGUACCUGCAGAAGAAGCGACGGCUAAAUACGU